CUUUUUUUCUUUCUUCUUCAACCGUUUAUGAAGAAAAUGGGCAGCCACAAAUGAUCAAACAUUCAGCCAAGCUUCUAUAGCCCAUCUAGAUCAAGGAAGACGAGAUUCGGACUUAGAAAGGGGGAAAAACAAAAAAAAUAUGACGAAUAAGUCCUUUUCACCGAUUAAGCUACCGAGGUAAUCCAAAGAUUAUGUUAAAGAAAAGACAAGGUAUAGUCAUGUUGAAAGGAUACAGUGUCACAGAUACUAGCUCGAGUUGGAGAUCGUCGGAGAUUCUAUCACACUAUUAAGCUAUUGAUCGGUAUCAACAUAUUCAAUCAUUUUAAGUUUAUGGCAUGUAUAGGGACUCAGUCAUUUUGUGUAUGAGUUAUUAUGUUUUGGCCAAAUGUUUUGGCUUGUAAUGGUUAAAGGUUUGAUUUAUGUGUAGCCACGUAACUUGGCUUAUAUUGGCUAAUUGGUUGUAAGCCUAUAUAUAUAUAUAUAUAUUAAUUAUAUGUCAA
Gossypium raimondii (Peruvian cotton) is the source of this 500-nucleotide long non-coding RNA. RefSeq lists it as uncharacterized. The transcript has 4 exons. Lineage: Eukaryota; Viridiplantae; Streptophyta; Magnoliopsida; Malvales; Malvaceae. The record is from RefSeq and is a predicted model, not a curated record.